This 468-nucleotide ribosomal RNA is filed under the name uncultured bacterium. RNAcentral's name for it is "partial 16S ribosomal RNA". It matches the Rfam family "Bacterial small subunit ribosomal RNA", at positions 28 to 507 of the family's 1533-position model. The record is from RNAcentral.
GACGAACGCUGGCGGCGUGCUUAACACAUGCAAGUCGAACGGAAAGGCCCUGCUUUUGUGGGGUGCUCGAGUGGCGAACGGGUGAGUAACACGUGAGUAACCUGCCCUUGACUUUGGGAUAACUUCAGGAAACUGGGGCUAAUACCGGAUAGGAGCUCCUGCUGCAUGGUGGGGGUUGGAAAGUUUCGGCGGUUGGGGAUGGACUGGCGGCUUAUCAGCUUGUUGGUGGGGUAGUGGCUUACUAAGGCUUUGACGGGUAGCCGGCCUGCGAGGGUGACCGGCCACAUUGGGACUGAGAUACGGCCCAGACUCCUACGGGAGGCAGCAGUGGGGAAUAUUGCACAAUGGGCGGAAGCCUGAUGCAGCAACGCGGCGUGCGGGAUGACGGCCUUCGGGUUGUAAACCGCUUUCGCCUGUGACGAAGCGUGAGUGACGGUAAUGGGUAAAGAAGCACCGGCUAACUACGUG